UUUGAUGGCGACCGGCGCACGGGUGAGUAACACGUAUCCAACCUGCCGAUGACUCGGGGAUAGCCUUUCGAAAGAAAGAUUAAUAUCCGAUGGCAUAGUUCUUCCGCAUGGUGGAACUAUUAAAGAAUUUCGGUCAUCGAUGGGGAUGCGUUCCAUUAGGUUGUUGGCGGGGUAACGGCCCACCAAGCCUUCGAUGGAUAGGGGUUCUGAGAGGAAGGUCCCCCACAUUGGAACUGAGACACGGUCCAAACUCCUACGGGAGGCAGCAUG
This 270-nucleotide ribosomal RNA is filed under the name uncultured bacterium. Its description in RNAcentral is "partial 16S ribosomal RNA". It matches the Rfam family "Bacterial small subunit ribosomal RNA", at positions 84 to 353 of the family's 1533-position model. The record is from RNAcentral.